Molecule: ribosomal RNA, 482 nt
Filed under: uncultured bacterium
Lineage: Bacteria
Description: partial 16S ribosomal RNA
Rfam family: Bacterial small subunit ribosomal RNA
Source: RNAcentral
AUUGAACGCUGGCGGCAUGCCUUACACAUGCAAGUCGAACGGUAACAGGUCUUCGGAUGCUGACGAGUGGCGAACGGGUGAGUAAUACAUCGGAACGUGCCCGAACGUGGGGGAUAACGAGGCGAAAGCUUUGCUAAUACCGCAUACGAUCUAAGGAUGAAAGCGGGGGAUCUUCGGACCUCGGGCGGACGGAGGGGCCGAUGGCAGAUUAGGUAGCUGGUGGGAUAAAGGCUUACCAAGCCGACGAUCUGUAGCUGGUCUGAGAGGAUGAUCAGCCACACUGGAACUGAGACACGGCCCAGACUCCUACGGGAGGCAGCAGUGGGGAAUUUUGGACAAUGGGCGAAAGCCUGAUCCAGCCAUGCCGCGUGCAUGAUGAAGGCCUUUGGGUUGUAAACUGCUUUUGUACGGAACGAAAAGCCUCUUGCUAAUAAAGAGGGGUCAUGACGGUACCGUAAGAAUAAGCACCGGCUAACUACGUG